UAUGAAUGUUCAAGUUACUGCAUUGUACUUCACGACAAUGUUAAUUGACUGAUGUUGUACUCCUUGGAGGAGUAAAUUCAUGAGCUAAAGAACCUUUAGCUGUCUAGAAAAGGGUGGCCAGAUCCUGUUUUGUUUUGAAAACAGAGAAUUCGAUCGGAACAUAAAUUUAUUUGUUAUGUGUAGCCAACAUGCUUCUUACAUCAACGAUACGCAAUCAACAACCGAAAACAAAAUACCUAGGAAGACCUAUUGCUUUUAAGAGUGUGAUCGGUUGAGAGAUUUUUUCUUGAUUUAGUUCAGCUUGAGACAUGAUAGGUUUUAAAAAAAUUCUAAUCAUUUGGUAUUUACUCUGCUCAUAAAAUCAACUUUAUCUACCACUCAAACAUUGCUAUUGAAUGUGAAGAUAAUUGUAAGCAAGGCCAAUUCAUAUUGAAGGGAUAGAUACUUUUGUGGGUUUAGAUACUCGUACAUAAAACAAGAUCGUCGUGAAUGCGGAGGGAAAAAUCUAAAAGAUUUUUUUAACAGUCACAGAAUAAUUAGGACAAUUGACCUGCUCUUUGUAGCCUCUCUCUGGUGUGACCACCACAGGGUAAAGGCAUGCUUUUGCCAUAAUUUGUAAACUACAGGAAUGGACAUUCUAAUCUAUUCCUGUGUACUUUUUACUGACAUAUUCAUUAAUACUCCUUUUUUAUUUGCUCGAGUUAUGCACAGUCCAGGAUAUUGCUUAAUAGUUUGGAUAGUUUUGUCUCAAUGUAAAAAUUGUCAGAGUUGGUGUACUGGACUUGAUCAUAUUUUGUAUACAGAAAAACCAUUUCUUUUGAGAAAUGACAAUAGAAUGGAUGAUUAGACUUGUCUUUUGAAUUUCAUGAUUUUGUCUCAUAUACUAUGAGCACCCUGAACAAUUUUUUUAUAACCUCGAAAUUUAAAGGGAAAGUAAGUCUUGAUGCUGCCUUUUCUUCUAAUCUGGAAUAUUAUGCCAGUCAUCUGAUCUGUGAGUCUGUGACAAUUGAUAACCACCCUCGUCUUUUAGACUACUUGACUGAUACAAAUAUCUCGGUGGAAAGAGAAGUCAUGAGCAACAAUGAUAAGAUAUUUUCCAUCAUCAUUUUCAUAUUUUCGUAUCUGUAAAUUUUUCUCUGGAUGUAGGAGUUAAAAUAAAUUGCUAUCUCAAGUUGAUAUACCAAUUCUUUUGCACAGAUGUUGUUGGAUCAGCAAUUGGCUUCCUGGUGUUCGCCCUGAUCCUCUCUUCAUGGUCUGUUACCUUUAUGAUUGGCGGGAACCAACUUUUCGGCCCAGUGUGGGAUAAAUUGGUUAUGUACAAUGUUGCCGAUAGAUAUGGUUUAACUGAAUUGAUGUAGAUCUACAUGUUAGUGGUUUCAGUUCCAUAAUCGACAUGAAUAUGGUAUGUCUUUGCUUUUGCUGAUAUGAAUGUUCAAGUUACUGCAUUGUACUUCACGACAAUGUUAAUUGACUGAUGUUGUACUCCUUGGAGGAGUAAAUUCAUGAGCUAAAGAACCUUUAGCUGUCUAGAAAAGGGUGGCCAGAUCCUGUUUUGUUUUGAAAACAGAGAAUUCGAUCGGAACAUAAAUUUAUUUGUUAUGUGAUUUUAAUUGGAUCAUCAAGAUUAAUUCAGAACCCAGAAAUUCUAAAUUGUGUAUGGACAUACUCCUUAGGCAAACGCAGACAGGAUAGCCAUUUUCUUUUGUGUUUUAGUAGGUUUUUCUUUUGAAUCAAUAGGAACUAAAGAAAAUCAAUGAAGAACUUUACGUGGGAUUUCCUUACCAUAUGACUGGAUUUUGUCAUGUAUUCGACG
RNAcentral lists this long non-coding RNA (1813 nucleotides) under Olea europaea (common olive). Its description in RNAcentral is "long non-coding RNA (OEUR_LNC002516)". Lineage: Eukaryota; Viridiplantae; Streptophyta; Magnoliopsida; Lamiales; Oleaceae. The record is from RNAcentral.